GCAGCACGGACUUCGGUCUGGUGGCUAGUGGCGAACGGGUAAGUAAUGGAUCGGAACGUGCCCAGUAGCGGGGGAUAACUACGCGAAAGCGUAGCUAAUACCGCAUACGCCCUACGGGGGAAAGCAGGGGAUCGCAAGACCUUGCACUAUUGGAGCGGCCGAUAUCGGAUUAGCUAGUUGGUGGGGUAACGGCUCACCAAGGCGACGAUCCGUAGCUGGUUUGAGAGGACGACCAGCCACACUGGGACUGAGACACGGCCCAGACUCCUACGGGAGGCAGCAGUGGGGAAUUUUGGACAAUGGGGGAAACCCUGAUCCAGCCAUCCCGCGUGUGCGAUGAAGGCCUUCGGGUUGUAAAGCACUUUUGGCAGGAAAGAAACGUCGCGGGUUAAUACCCCGCGAAACUGACGGUACCUGCAGAAUAAGCACCGGCUAACUACGUGCCAGCAGCCGCGGUAAUACGUAGGGUGCAAGCGUUAAUCGGAAUUACUGGGCGUAAAGCGUGCGCAGGCGGUUCGGAAAGAAAGAUGUGAAAAUCCCAGAGCUUAACUUUGGGAACUGCAUUUUUAACUACCGGGCUAGAGUGUGUCAGAGGGAGGU
Molecule: ribosomal RNA, 600 nt
Filed under: uncultured Achromobacter sp.
Lineage: Bacteria; Pseudomonadati; Pseudomonadota; Betaproteobacteria; Burkholderiales; Alcaligenaceae
Description: bacterial SSU rRNA
Rfam family: Bacterial small subunit ribosomal RNA
Source: RNAcentral